AUUUGUUUGACUCGCAGGGAAAGAAACUGGAUUUUAAAUAUUCUUUGCUGAAGUAUACAGGUGAAUGGAUUAUGUAGGGUGUCACUGUAUACAAAGUUUCCUCCCGCAAACCCGUCUUCCCAGGAGGACGGCCUGAGUAGCUGGAGGCGGCAUGAACUCUGAUCCCUUGGGUCACACACUAUGGACAAUGAGAGGCGGAGCUGGAGCUAGUCUGUAAGAAUAUUCUCCACAAGGCAGCACAGUCUUGGAUCUUUCAGAGUCCAGGGAUCCACUCAGAGAAUGAAGAGCUCACAUUAAAAGAUGAAAUAAGCUUGACUCUCACAGAACAUGAGUUUCAGUGCCCUCUUUGCCAUGGAUUGAGGGUCAUGGUCACAGGAAAGCAAUGGUCAGCUUUGGAAGCAAUAUUUCAGCAUUCCAUGGAGAGCAUAUUAGACGUAACUCCGGGGAUGUUAAAUGCCCACGUGUCCAAAAAAAAAAAAACGUUACAAGCUUUAAGCCAGCGGCUUGGAGCAGCCUCAAACACCAGUGCAGAUGUUGCCUCCUCGGAAGCUGGCUGCCUCACACCUGAAGGCCCCUCUGAGCAAGCUUCAGUCUAGUGGCCACAAAUCCCUCCUAAUGGGAUCCAAGUGAGAGAGGCGCUGCAAAAUGUAAGACGCACUCCGCAAGAACGCUGCAGGUAAAGGUCAGAUGCGUAAGAAACAUUUGCCCAGCCGGGGCAAAGCUGAUGCUAAUUUGCCUCAGGAACUUAAUAAAUGGCAACCGUGUGCUGAUGUUGGC
Molecule: long non-coding RNA, 777 nt
Organism: Equus quagga
Lineage: Eukaryota; Metazoa; Chordata; Mammalia; Perissodactyla; Equidae
Exons: 4
Source: RefSeq, a predicted model, not a curated record